GAAUUCGAUUGUUUUGCUCGCGCGAAACCGGAGUGACGUCGGGAAGAGGUCAAAUGACCUAACGGAGUAUGGUGUGGAUCGGGCCCUCGACGACGACAGCACUUGCUUUUGCUUUUGAUCGGGUUUUCUUGGCUAUGUGGGUGUUCCAAUGUUGAUUCAUUUUUGUUUAAAAGACAACCGCAAUGCAGUUUACAAACAAACAUCACUGCGAUCCUUGACAAAGUUGGAGACUGCUUGGCAGAGGUAUGGAUAGAUGCGGUAAUAUUCUUCAAUGAUGGUGGUUGCGAGGUUCUGGUUGUAGUGUUCUACAUCUUCAAAACUCACUUCAAUGGUGCUUCUUUCCUGGAUGAGGAGCUCCUUUGCUGGUUCAAGGCCGUACAGCAUGUUCCAAAUCAGAUCUGGACACGAACACUCCAUCUGCUUCUUUUGCGAUGUCUUUAAUGUUCUUAACGCCGGG
This is a long non-coding RNA of Dalotia coriaria, 457 nucleotides long. RefSeq lists it as uncharacterized. NCBI's taxonomy places the organism in Eukaryota, Metazoa, Arthropoda, Insecta, Coleoptera, Staphylinidae. The transcript is spliced from 4 exons. The record is from RefSeq and is a predicted model, not a curated record.